GACGAACGCUAGCGGCGUGCUUAACACAUGCAAGUCGAACGGAAAGGCCCUGCUUUUGUGGGGUGCUCGAGUGGCGAACGGGUAAGUAACACGUGAGUAACCUGCCCUUGACUUUGGGAUAACUUCAGGAAACUGGGGCUAAUACCGGAUAGGAGCUCCUGCUGCAUGGUGGGGGUUGGAAAGUUUCGGCGGUUGGGGAUGGACUCGCGGCUUAUCAGCUUGUUGGUGGGGUAGUGGCUUACCAAGGCUUUGACGGGUAGCCGGCCUGAGAGGGUGACCGGCCACAUUGGGACUGAGAUACGGCCCAGACUCCUACGGGAGGCAGCAGUGGGGAAUAUUGCACAAUGGGCGGAAGCCUGAUGCAGCAACGCCGCGUGCGGGAUGACGGCCUUCGGGUUGUAAACCGCUUUCGCCUGUGACGAAGCGUGAGUGACGGUAAUGGGUAAAGAAGCACCGGCUAACUACGUG
This 468-nucleotide ribosomal RNA is filed under the name uncultured bacterium. RNAcentral's name for it is "partial 16S ribosomal RNA". It matches the Rfam family "Bacterial small subunit ribosomal RNA", at positions 28 to 507 of the family's 1533-position model. The record is from RNAcentral.